AGCGAACGCUGGCGGCAGGCUUAACACAUGCAAGUCGAGCGGGCAUCCUUGUGGUGUCAGCGGCAGACGGGUGAGUAACGCGUGGGAACGUGCCCUUCGGUUCGGAAUAACUCAGGGAAACUUGAGCUAAUACCGGAUACGUGCGAGAGCAGAAAGGUUUAUCUGCCGAAGGAUCGGCCCGCGUCUGAUUAGCUAGUUGGUGAGGUUAUGGCUCACCAAGGCGACGAUCAGUAGCUGGUCUGAGAGGAUGAUCAGCCACACUGGGACUGAGACACGGCCCAGACUCCUACGGGAGGCAGCAGUGGGGAAUAUUGGACAAUGGGGGCAACCCUGAUCCAGCCAUGCCGCGUGAGUGAUGACGGCCUUAGGGUUGUAAAGCUCUUUUCUCUGGGACGAUAAUGACGGUACCGGAGGAAUAAGCCCCGGCUAACUUCGUG
RNAcentral lists this ribosomal RNA (437 nucleotides) under uncultured bacterium. Its description in RNAcentral is "partial 16S ribosomal RNA". It matches the Rfam family "Bacterial small subunit ribosomal RNA", at positions 29 to 507 of the family's 1533-position model. The record is from RNAcentral.